CUCUCUUAGCUGUGUUUUAAAGAACUUUGAUAAACUUUACCCCCCUUUGUUGAGCAAGAUUAGGGAAGCAGUGUUUUCUUCCACGCCCACUGCAGAGGGAAAUGCCUGGGGUCUAAAAACUUUGAUAUCUUGCUUAAACUUUUCUCAAACUCAAAACAGCUGCAAGCAGAGGAUCAGCUUUUUGGGAAGCUGACUACUAAAAAGUUAGGAGAUGUGAAAAAUGCCUGGUGUCUGGGGUCAAACCUAACCAGAG
RNAcentral lists this long non-coding RNA (253 nucleotides) under Marmota monax (woodchuck). Lineage: Eukaryota; Metazoa; Chordata; Mammalia; Rodentia; Sciuridae. The record is from RNAcentral.